CUUCCUGUACAACAUGUUGUUUACCUCCCCUGAGCUGCACCAUACACACACACAUACGCCAUCAGUCCAGUCUGUAUCGGUUCAGUUUGGUAGACGACAUCAGUUCCAUGGUAUGAAGCAAAUGCAGAUGCAAAGCUUACCGGUCGUGCUGCUCCAGGCAUCGUCCACCGUCAGCAGCGCCAUCCGGAUCAAACAUCCCGCCACGCAUAUCCUGCAACCAGUUCGUGGCACCUUUUCUCAGAGGCAAGAAUGUAUAUAUACCAACUCUGAUCGCAAUACUAGAAUUCCCUUCUUGGUACAGAACUAUCAAGAAUCAAUCUUGAAUUCUCGCACGAGGUGGCAAACGAAAGGUGUAUAAUUGUCAAACUAAAUAGGCCUGACAGUGUUCCAUUUUCUACAUACCCAGCAACAACGGUUCAGUUAGUACCAAAGGUUCAGCAACAAGUUGACUACCUUGGUGAGGACGGUCUCCUCCAGAUCGGAGUCCGAGAGCCCAACAGCAACACAGAAGACCGGAACAGAGUCCGAGAGCCCUUCAUGUGCGCGCGCCGUCAGUCUCCUACUCCUUGAUCUCCCUGAGCUUCCCUUCCUCAAGAACUACUGACUAUCCUGGGUGCACUCUGCACCAGCCAGCCAGAGUUUAUCCAUGCACCAUAUCUGCGGGCCAUGCAUGGAGCAAACGAUCUUUAGCUCACCAUGCUGCAACCUUGCUUCCCAGAACUCUGACAAGGGUUCCACAUCACAAAGUAUUAGAAACUAGUCACAGAAAUUGGAAUCUGUAAAGUAAAUGAAAGAACAAAACAGGAAUUGGAAAGGAGAGAUUGCAGAUAUAAGUGCCACUGUUCGUUCAUACUAGGAAUGAUUGAUAGAAUGCCUAGGCCAUUAGCAGACAUGAAUUUUAGCACCAAAAAAAAAAGAAAACAAAUCAAUUCAGCCCACAAUUUCAAGAAUUACAAAAUAAAGUACUGUAAUCAACACCUAGACAUUAAUAUCAUCACCAUCCAUACAAACCAACAGACCAAUCAACAUUUUGCACAAUGUUUCUAAUACUUCCACCUUUUGGUUGGACUAGCUGCCAAACCAUUGGCAACCAUCUAACAAUGUGUAUCACCGAGCUCCAGAUUCUAACAUUUGUGGUUCUGUAAUGGAUCCUCUUCUAAUAUACAUUCAAAUAGUACAAACUAGAGAGAGAGCAGAAAGCAUGCUUACAGAGAUAUUAUUUGUAGUACAGAGGCAGAGGCAAGCAGUGGGAACAGAUACAUGGUAC
Molecule: long non-coding RNA, 1267 nt
Filed under: Triticum aestivum (bread wheat)
Lineage: Eukaryota; Viridiplantae; Streptophyta; Magnoliopsida; Poales; Poaceae
Description: long non-coding RNA (TAES_LNC002086)
Source: RNAcentral